GACGAACGCUGGCGGCGUGGAUUAGGCAUGCAAGUCGAACGGUAUCAUCCUUUCGGGGGUGAGAGAGUGGCGAACUGGUGAGUAACACGUAGGUUAUCUACCCUCAAGACGGGGACAACCCAGGGAAACUUGGGCUAAUACCGGAUGUGAGCAACUUUUUAGUUGUUUGAAAGGUGGCGUAAGCUGUCGCUUGGGGAUGAGCCUGCGUCCUAUUAGUUAGUUGGUGAGGUAACGGCUCACCUAGGCAAUGAUAGGUAGGCGGCCUUAACGGGUGGUCGCCCACACUGGGAUUGAGAUACGGCCCAGACUCCUACGGGAGGCAGCAGUCGAGAAUAGUCUACAAUGGUCGGAAGACUGAUAGUGCGACGCCGCGUGAACGAUGAAUCCCUUCGGGGUGUAAAGUUCUUUUAUAUGUGAGCAGUGCUUCUUAUAUUAACAGUAUGGGGAAGAGAUAUUAGCAUAUGAAUAAGCAACGGCUAAACUCCGUGCCCAGCAGCCGCGGU
RNAcentral lists this ribosomal RNA (503 nucleotides) under uncultured bacterium. RNAcentral describes it as "bacterial SSU rRNA". It matches the Rfam family "Bacterial small subunit ribosomal RNA", at positions 28 to 521 of the family's 1533-position model. The record is from RNAcentral.